UAAAAUCUUGAAUGAUUAGAAUAAAGGUUAAAGAAUAAAACCUAGAUGAGAAUUUGAGGAUUUAUUUAAAUUUUUCAAGUAAAACCUAUAUGGUUUGCUAUUCGAAUGAGAAUAGAGAAAAUAUGGGUUACAAAAUUCCAAAACCCUAGAAAUGAAUUAAUAUGUACUUGAAGGAAUAUUAAGAAUAAGGUAUUACGAUACCUUUAAAUUCGAUGUGAACGGAAUAGUCUAAAAAAAAUGUUAUAUAAGUACAUAUGGAAAUUUUAUUAUUGGAGAUAAGAUUUCACAUGAAGAGAUGCUAUGAGGUUAAACGAAGAUGAGUAUAUGUAUAGAAAUAUAUUUACUUAGUAAUGUGCUAUAUAUAUUU
This 367-nucleotide long non-coding RNA is filed under the name Panax ginseng (ginseng). Its description in RNAcentral is "long non-coding RNA (PGIN_LNC010419)". The record is from RNAcentral. Lineage: Eukaryota; Viridiplantae; Streptophyta; Magnoliopsida; Apiales; Araliaceae.